Molecule: ribosomal RNA, 253 nt
Filed under: uncultured bacterium
Lineage: Bacteria
Description: partial 16S ribosomal RNA
Rfam family: Bacterial small subunit ribosomal RNA
Source: RNAcentral
UACGUAGGGUGCAAGCGUUAAUCGGAAUUACUGGGCGUAAAGGGCUCGUAGGCGGCCAACUAAGUCGGAUGUGAAAUCCCCAGGCUUAACCUGGGAACUGCAUCCGAUACUGGAUGGCUUGAAUCCGGGAGAGGGAUGCAGAAUUCCAGGUGUAGCGGUGAAAUGCGUAGAUAUCUGGAGGAAUACCGGUGGCGAAGGCGGCAUCCUGGACCGGCAUUGACGCUGAUGAGCGAAAGCUAGGGGAGCAAACGGG